UCUUCAGAAAUUCAGGCCUUGUGGACAAGGGGAAUUGAGUGGUCUACCAUGUUCCGCUAACCGUAGUCGCGUACCGAGUUAAGAGUUACUCCUCCAACAAUAAUUUCCAUGAUUUCGGUGGACCAAUGGGUCCAAUCCUUGUGCCCCCGCCUUCACGGAAACACCAAUUAUAGUUUAGAAAAGGACUCGAUGCCAAAAGAUGAAGCAUUUCACAGUAUGCAUCCUCCGUGUUGCUGGUAGAUUAUUAGCCUACUGUUCCCGUCCUCAUUACAGAGUUUGGCCGGUGACCAGCUGUGGCAUGCCAAGUCAAGUCAAGUCAACUGAAACUCUUGAAUGCCAUGAGAUGCCUAAGUGAGAAAAAUCAUAAUAGGCAAGUAGGAGAUGAUAGCCAUAAUUGGUGAAACUUUUAUCAGGAUUUAGAGUUCAGAGUUUCAAACUAACGGAAGACGCCUUCUGUAUUAAGGGACAAAUAAAUUUCAGUGUUUUCUCAGUUCAUAAAUAAUUCUGUAAGCAGAUUGGCACUUCUUAUUUAAAAUAUAUCUUAACGGUAAUUUCGUAAAGACGAAACAAUCAUUCUAGAAAGAUCGGAACAGUUGCAGUAGAGGAAAAAGCAUUCAGAAAUAAUACCUUUUUUUCUGCUUUGUCUUGCUUCAAGUUUAACUGUCCGCACGGAGACCUUUCAGUGCAUGACAAGGAAAUAUCACUAACAUGGAGAGGAAAUUGACCAAUUCAAUCCCAACCUCAUAGACUGCUCCACACAAAAUCCAAUUCAUGGGCAUGAUUUUCCAUGUGCCACACUGUUCCACGAAGAAGACGCGUGAGGAGACUAACCACUGUUAAGUGCCAUUCUCCAAGGGACAUAAGCUUGCUCUCAUCAGUAGAGGCACCAACCAAAGCACAAAAGCAAUGGCACAUCACCUCCCAUGGCGUUUCCUCCAGUUCUUGCUACUGCUGCUGGGGGUUUC
This 965-nucleotide long non-coding RNA is filed under the name Hordeum vulgare. RNAcentral's name for it is "long non-coding RNA (HVUL_LNC005781)". The record is from RNAcentral. Lineage: Eukaryota; Viridiplantae; Streptophyta; Magnoliopsida; Poales; Poaceae.